Molecule: ribosomal RNA, 479 nt
Filed under: uncultured anaerobic ammonium-oxidizing bacterium
Lineage: Bacteria
Description: bacterial SSU rRNA
Rfam family: Bacterial small subunit ribosomal RNA
Source: RNAcentral
UUUCGCAAUGCCCGAAAGGGUGACGAAGCGACGCCGCGUGAGCGAAGAAGGCCCUAGGGUUGUAAAGCUCUGUCAGGGGUUAUGAAAUGUAGACAGGUUAAUACCCAGUUUAUUUGACAAAGGCCCCAAAGGAAGCCACGGCUAACUCUGUGCCAGCAGCCGCGGUAAUACAGAGGUGGCAAGCGUUGUUCGGUAUUAUUGGGCGUAAAGAGCACGUAGGUGGUUUUGUAAGUCAGAUGUGAAAGCCUUCUGUUUAAAGGAAGAACAGCAUCUGAAACUGCAAAUCUUGAGUGUAGGAGGGGAGAGUGGAACUUCUGGUGGAGCGGUGAAAUGCGUAGAUAUCAGAAGGAACGUCGGCGGCGAAAGCGACUCUCUGGCCUAUUACUGACACUGAGUGUGCGAAAGUUAGGGGAGCAAACGGGAUUAGAUACCCCGGUAGUCCUAACCGUAAACGAUGGGCACUAAGUAGAGGGGUUUUA